This 897-nucleotide ribosomal RNA is filed under the name Acremonium sclerotigenum. RNAcentral's name for it is "LSU rRNA". It matches the Rfam family "Eukaryotic large subunit ribosomal RNA", at positions 38 to 966 of the family's 3401-position model. Lineage: Eukaryota; Fungi; Ascomycota; Sordariomycetes; Hypocreales; Bionectriaceae. The record is from RNAcentral.
GCAUAUCAAUAAGCGGAGGAAAAGAAACCAACAGGGAUUGCCCUAGUAACGGCGAGUGAAGCGGCAACAGCUCAAAUUUGAAAUCUGGCCUCACGGUCCGAAUUGUAAUUUGUAGAGGAUGUUUCUGGCGACGUGUCUUCCGAGUUCCCUGGAACGGGACGCCAUAGAGGGUGAGAGCCCCGUCCGGUCGUACACCUAGCCUCUGUGAAACUCCUUCGACGAGUCGAGUAGUUUGGGAAUGCUGCUCUAAAUGGGAGGUAUACGUCUUCUAAAGCUAAAUACCGGCCAGAGACCGAUAGCGCACAAGUAGAGUGAUCGAAAGAUGAAAAGCACUUUGAAAAGAGGGUUAAAUAGUACGUGAAAUUGCUGAAAGGGAAGCGCUUAUGACCAGACUUGGGCUCGGUGAAUCAUCCGGCGUUCUCGCCGGUGCACUUUGCCGUCCCAGGCCAGCAUCAGUUCGCGCCGGGGGAUAAAGGUUUCGGGAAUGUAGCUCCCUCGGGAGUGUUAUAGCCCGUUGCGUAAUACCCUGGCGUGGACUGAGGUCCGCGCUCUGCAAGGAUGCUGGCGUAAUGGUCAUCAGUGACCCGUCUUGAAACACGGACCAAGGAGUCGUCUUCGUAUGCGAGUGUUCGGGUGUCAAACCCCUACGCGUAAUGAAAGUGAACGUAGGAGAGAGCUUCGGCGCAUCUCCGACCGAUCCUGAUGUUCUCGGAUGGAUUUGAGUAAGAGCAUACGGGGCCGGACCCGAAAGAAGGUGAACUAUGCCUGUAUAGGGUGAAGCCAGAGGAAACUCUGGUGGAGGCUCGCAGCGGUUCUGACGUGCAAAUCGAUCGUCAAAUAUGGGCAUGGGGGGCGAAAGACUAAUCGAACCUUCUAGUAGCUGGGUUUCCGCCGAAG